GGGCAGGUGAUGAAAUGGCAGACAUGCAAGGUUUAGGACCUUGUGCCGCAAGGCGUGUGGGUUCGAAUCCCACCCUGCCCACAA
Molecule: transfer RNA, 84 nt
Filed under: Candidatus Jorgensenbacteria bacterium GWC1_48_12
Lineage: Bacteria; Candidatus Joergenseniibacteriota
Description: tRNA-Leu
Rfam family: tRNA
About the family: Transfer RNA (tRNA) molecules are approximately 80 nucleotides in length. Their secondary structure includes four short double-helical elements and three loops (D, anti-codon, and T loops).
Source: RNAcentral